Molecule: ribosomal RNA, 434 nt
Filed under: uncultured bacterium
Lineage: Bacteria
Description: partial 16S ribosomal RNA
Rfam family: Bacterial small subunit ribosomal RNA
Source: RNAcentral
AGCGAACGCUGGCGGCAGGCCUAACACAUGCAAGUCGAACGAACCUUUCGGGGUUAGUGGCGGACGGGUGAGUAACACGUGGGAACGUGCCUUUAGGUUCGGAAUAACUCAGGGAAACUUGUGCUAAUACCGAAUGUGCCCUUCGGGGGAAAGAUUAAUCGCCUUUAGAGCGGCCCGCGUCUGAUUAGCUAGUUGGUUGAGGUAAUGGCUCACCAAGGCGACGAUCAGUAGCUGGUCUGAGAGGAUGAUCAGCCACAUUGGGACUGAGACACGGCCCAAACUCCUACUGGAGGCAGCAGUGGGGAAUCUUGCGCAAUGGGCGAAAGCCUGACGCAGCCAUGCCGCGUGAAUGAUGAAGGUCUUAGGAUUGUAAAAUUCUUUCACCGGGGACGAUAAUGACGGUACCCGGAGAAGAAGCCCCGGCUAACUUCGUG